RNAcentral lists this ribosomal RNA (1458 nucleotides) under Staphylococcus aureus. Its description in RNAcentral is "bacterial LSU rRNA". It matches the Rfam family "Bacterial large subunit ribosomal RNA", at positions 1467 to 2925 of the family's 2925-position model. Lineage: Bacteria; Bacillati; Bacillota; Bacilli; Caryophanales; Staphylococcaceae. The record is from RNAcentral.
GGGGGACGCAGUAGGAUAGGCGAAGCGUGCGAUUGGAUUGCACGUCUAAGCAGUAAGGCUGAGUAUUAGGCAAAUCCGGUACUCGUUAAGGCUGAGCUGUGAUGGGGAGAAGACAUUGUGUCUUCGAGUCGUUGAUUUCACACUGCCGAGAAAAGCCUCUAGAUAGAAAAUAGGUGCCCGUACCGCAAACCGACACAGGUAGUCAAGAUGAGAAUUCUAAGGUGAGCGAGCGAACUCUCGUUAAGGAACUCGGCAAAAUGACCCCGUAACUUCGGGAGAAGGGGUGCUCUUUAGGGUUAACGCCCAGAAGAGCCGCAGUGAAUAGGCCCAAGCGACUGUUUAUCAAAAACACAGGUCUCUGCUAAACCGUAAGGUGAUGUAUAGGGGCUGACGCCUGCCCGGUGCUGGAAGGUUAAGAGGAGUGGUUAGCUUCUGCGAAGCUACGAAUCGAAGCCCCAGUAAACGGCGGCCGUAACUAUAACGGUCCUAAGGUAGCGAAAUUCCUUGUCGGGUAAGUUCCGACCCGCACGAAAGGCGUAACGAUUUGGGCACUGUCUCAACGAGAGACUCGGUGAAAUCAUAGUACCUGUGAAGAUGCAGGUUACCCGCGCCAGGACGGAAAGACCCCGUGGAGCUUUACUGUAGCCUGAUAUUGAAAUUCGGCACAGCUUGUACAGGAUAGGUAGGAGCCUUUGAAACGUGAGCGCUAGCUUACGUGGAGGCGCUGGUGGGAUACUACCCUAGCUGUGUUGGCUUUCUAACCCGCACCACUUAUCGUGGUGGGAGACAGUGUCAGGCGGGCAGUUUGACUGGGGCGGUCGCCUCCUAAAAGGUAACGGAGGCGCUCAAAGGUUCCCUCAGAAUGGUUGGAAAUCAUUCAUAGAGUGUAAAGGCAUAAGGGAGCUUGACUGCGAGACCUACAAGUCGAGCAGGGUCGAAAGACGGACUUAGUGAUCCGGUGGUUCCGCAUGGAAGGGCCAUCGCUCAACGGAUAAAAGCUACCCCGGGGAUAACAGGCUUAUCUCCCCCAAGAGUUCACAUCGACGGGGAGGUUUGGCACCUCGAUGUCGGCUCAUCGCAUCCUGGGGCUGUAGUCGGUCCCAAGGGUUGGGCUGUUCGCCCAUUAAAGCGGUACGCGAGCUGGGUUCAGAACGUCGUGAGACAGUUCGGUCCCUAUCCGUCGUGGGCGUAGGAAAUUUGAGAGGAGCUGUCCUUAGUACGAGAGGACCGGGAUGGACAUACCUCUGGUGUACCAGUUGUCGUGCCAACGGCAUAGCUGGGUAGCUAUGUGUGGACGGGAUAAGUGCUGAAAGCAUCUAAGCAUGAAGCCCCCCUCAAGAUGAGAUUUCCCAACUUCGGUUAUAAGAUCCCUCAAAGAUGAUGAGGUUAAUAGGUUCGAGGUGGAAGCAUGGUGACAUGUGGAGCUGACGAAUACUAAUCGAUCGAAGACUUAAUCAA